GACGAACGCUGGCGGCGUGCUUAACACAUGCAAGUCGAACGGGAAGGCCCUGCUUUUGUGGGGUGCUCGAGUGGCGAACGGGUGAGUAACACGUGAGUAACCUGCCCUUGACUUUGGGAUAACUUCAGGAAACUGGGGCUAAUACCGGAUAGGAGCUCCUGCUGCAUGGUGGGGGUUGGAAAGUUUCGGCGGUUGGGGAUGGACUCGCGGCUUAUCAGCUUGUUGGUGGGGUAGUGGCUUACCAAGGCUUUGACGGGUAGCCGGCCUGAGAGGGUGACCGGCCACAUUGGGACUGAGAGACGGCCCAGACUCCUACGGGAGGCAGCAGUGGGGAAUAUUGCACAAUGGGCGGAAGCCUGAUGCAGCAACGCCGCGUGCGGGAUGACGGCCUUCGGGUUGUAAACCGCUUUCGCCUGUGACGAAGCGUGAGUGACGGUAAUGGGUAAGAAGCACCGGCUAACUACGUG
Molecule: ribosomal RNA, 467 nt
Filed under: uncultured bacterium
Lineage: Bacteria
Description: partial 16S ribosomal RNA
Rfam family: Bacterial small subunit ribosomal RNA
Source: RNAcentral